Ictidomys tridecemlineatus (thirteen-lined ground squirrel) is the source of this 4526-nucleotide non-coding RNA. NCBI's taxonomy places the organism in Eukaryota, Metazoa, Chordata, Mammalia, Rodentia, Sciuridae. The record is from RefSeq and is a predicted model, not a curated record.
GCCGCGCCCCGCGUCUCCCCGCGGCCCUCCCGUGUCCGAGGUCGCGCUCAGUCCUCAGCAGCGGGAAGCAGGCGCCCGGGGAGGCGGAUGGCUCCUAGGUCGUCGGUGGAGCCCGCGUACGUGGGAGAGAAAACCUUUUUAAGAUAGUGGGAAAGAAAUCGCGGGUCAAUCUGGCAGUGCCACAUUCCGGCAUCACAAAGAGGGCUGGCUGGAACAGGGGCGGGGCGGCAGGGACGGUUCCAGCCAGUCACUCUCGUUUUUUGUUUUUGUUUUGCGGUGCUGGGGACAGGACCCGGGGUCUAGGCAUCCUGGCCACUGGGCCCCGCCCCUGGCCUGUAAGUCACUUUGGUUUCACUAACUGUAAUGCCACUCCUUAAAGUUUUAGAAUUAAAAGCGUAACUUGAUAUCUACAAACAGGCAGAACAGUUCAGUUUCAGUCAUAUAAUGACAUAGGAAAUAUCAGACAUCAAGUUGUUUUAAUGAAUGAUUAUUGCAAGCAAGACAGUAUUUUAUCCCUACAGCUAAUCAGUAUGAGUAAGACAAAUCUUUACCAUCAACUUAAAUUCUGGUUGUGGAGAUGUAACAUUCCUACAAUAUUCAAGUGCGUGCUGAAUAAACUAACAAUUCUACAGUUACAAAACACCACAUCCAAGUUUCAAACAUAGGCGCAGCCCCUGCAAUACUUAACCUCAAUUGUUCACAUAGCCCCAAAAUACUUUUCCAUCAGACAUGCUUUCCUGGGAAAACCUGGGUCCAUAACCAGGUUGUGUGAUGCUUAUAGACCUACAUUAGCUCAGAGCAUAUGUGAACAUGGGUCAUACCAGGGUGGCACCCCCUACCCCCCGACUGGCUGCACUGGGGAACUGGAUGGCUGUGGACACAGGGCAGAUAAGGAAACUUGAUAGGUGGAAGAAACAUUUCUCACCAGAGCCUGGUGGUAGUUUAGGCCCCACAACUUUCACAUAGCACUUCCAAAACAACCUCACAACCACACGCAGUCCACGGACUGCAAAGACAGCUCCAAGACAGGCCUCCAGCUCAUAGGGGCACUCCCAUGCCACUCAGAGCAGCCAGCCUCUGCCCCUGUGCCCAAGUGCUAACAUGAUCAUAGUUUAGGUUUUAAGAUUAUUUUCUAGGUGGUUGCAGGCUGACAGUUUUGUGCCAGGAGAGGACUAGGGGGCAAGAGGUCAGCUGCCAUCUCUUGGGCACAGCCAGAAAGGCAGGGACUACAGAGAAAAAUCGACCGAUGGCUGAUGUCUGGACAUCAUGUGCAGACCCCAGCUGUUCAAAAGCUGUGCUGGCAUCAGUGAUGGUGUGCAGAAUUCAGAGUCUGCCUCUCUCAGUGGGCUACAGGUUAGUCCCUAACCCUCAGAGGUUUCAUCAGAUUGUCUGGCAGGAGGGCUGCAGGUGGGGUGGCCGGGCAGGCUCCUAAUCCUAAGAGCUAAUGUGUACUGACAGAGGUCUAUGAAGCAAGCACUCUCCUGGGAAAGUGGGGCCUACAGAUGGGAAGCACCACCCAAUAUCACCCAGCUCUCGAGGGAUGGCAGAGACUCACACCCGGGAACGUGAGACCAGAGCGGGAUUAACUAGCAUUCUAACGAGAAGGCAGAGUCAGGUUGUGGACUGAGACCCCCACAACCUGGUAGGCGAGGUCACUCAGUCCAUUCCUGACCAGCUAAAGCAAAACACAAAAUGUGUUGGACUGAUGCCCAGGAGGACAGGACCAGGAACCGGGAUUCCCCCCAGUCCUCUCAGCUCGCCCCAGUGAUGGCAGCUGGACCUGGAAGGCUGUCCGUGUGCCUGUCAUUUGAGGCAGAGAAGGACAUGCCAAGUGUCUUGUCACCAACACCUGACUCUGAGCACCAUUCAAAUGACAGCAGCCCUUGUCCCCUGCCCAGCUACCUCUGCUACUUGAGACCUUGGGCCCUCUGAGGUUAGGACAGUGGCUUGGCCUGUAGGCAGGGAGGGAGAACAAUGUGUCGCAGGCUGCAGGCUCAGCACCGACUGUUACAGAAUCCGUUAUGCGUUCCAUUUGGUCAGUGUGGACAGCUAGUGACAGUUACAGCAAGGACAGUUACUUUCAGUACAUCUGUCCUGAAAUUAAGUUUGGUCACUCGAAAAGGUGACCAAACUUGAUUUCAGGACAGAUGUACUGAAAAGUAAUCAGUGUCAAGAAGUCCAGUCAACUUAUAAUUUACAUGGAAUUUUGUGUAACGUGCCCAGAGCACAAGGAAGGCAACAAGUGUCCAAGUGAACUGGAGAGAGAACUGGAAUUCUGAGGUGAGCCUGCGUCUCCAGGGCACCGCUCUUCACUUGGUUACAAGAGCCCAUCUCCAAAAUAUGUGAUCGUGUUCCUCCAGAGGUUACUAAAUUUACUAUCUCAAAUAAGCUGGUUGAUUGGAAAGAUCAGGUAACAAACCAAAUAUAUAUCUUUAGAUCUGUGCAUAUUUUUGUCAUUUAAUUUUCAAAUUGUUUCUUUUACUUUCACAUUUCAAAUAUAACAAUAAUUAUUCACAAUUGGGAAAUUAUUCUGUCAGAGUAUAAGACUUUUAAUUACAAGGUUUAAGACACUUCCAGAAUGAGUUUGAUAUUCAUGGAGCAAAUUUCGGUCACUGGAAUAUAGUACCAGAAAGAUUAUAUUCAGGCCCAUAUAAAUCAGAGAGAGAGGCCUUUGCACAGGUGUGAACUACUGGCUCUGGAAGACCAAGGGGUGUGAUGACCCUGCACUGCCAACAAAGGCCAUGGAAAUGAUCCGCAGUACACGUGGGCCACGGCAAAACAUAGGAUGGCUGCUCCGUCUGUGACCAACACAAUUACCAGUGAAUAAAAUUAGGGCUGGUAAACACAGUUAUAAUACCAAGAAAUUAACAAUUAUUCUAAAAACCAAUUUUCCCCAUUAAUUCAACUGCUUGGUUUAUUAAGGCAUAACAUUUAAAUGCAGACUCAGAAAAACUAAAAAUAUCUCAACACCUUAUUUUUCUAAUAUCUCCUUUUCCCAUAGGCUAUAUUUCAUUUCAGUCAAAUCAAAAUUAAAUCUGAAUUUUAACAUAGGAAAAGCAAUUCAAAGCACCAUUCCCUGGUGAUUUCAAUUAAUUCCAUCAUACUCUAAAUACAAACAGUGAACACUCUUCCACGAGGGACUGGCAAUUCAACUUGCUCCCUUGCUCUCCACAGAAGCAUCUAGUUUUAUGUUCUCUAACUAGCUUACCUGAAAGCUAAACUGGGUGUGGAUCAGCUGGGAUUACCUAGCUGGCGCGGCUGUUGCUGCUUCUGGACAACCCCACUGUCCACCUCUGGUGGGGACACCAAUGGAGCGUCUGCAAAUGCAAGAAGUUGAGAGGCUCUGCACAGGCACGGCGGACAGGGUUUCCUGCAGCCUUUCCUCUACUUGCACUCCACACAUACUGGACUGGACUCCUCUGCACCGGCUCUUCCUCUAGCUGUCACUGCCUCACCCUGCAGCUAGUGAGCUGCGCUCUGCACCCCAUAGCAGCACCCCUGUGGUACCUCUGCAAUCACACUAUAAAAACUAGGAUGUCUUGGGUCUCCUCCUAGCACCAAGGCCUGGUGCUGGACCUGAUGAUGCCCCAUAGCAUGCCCUUCUGCAUGAAUGAAGGUGGGCGUUGGCCAGUGACUUCCACAGUCCUUGGGGGUCUGACCUGGCUAUUCCCCCCAAACUCCCAAGACCACCCACUUUUUCACUCUGGCAACACCGAAAUCCUGCGCUUCCUCCGCCUUCACUAUGCUAUGGUGCUAUGAUGCAUGGACUGCUCGCUGCCCCACCCUUCUCUGCACUGACCACAAAGAACAAUCCUCCCAUGGCUCUUUGCAGGCCUUUCCCCUAACUCUCAACACACAGCCUUCUCGUUACACUACCAUGCUUACAUGCCCACGCCUUUCCCUGUAAAUCCCUUCCUGUUGGCCCCUGGCCAGGCGAGGGUCAACCCAUGGGCAACUGAGGGGGAGCAGUUAGUGCAGGCUACCACUACCCCUGAAGGCCCCCUCAGGCACUUUGGGGCAGCCAACCCCUCCCACCCCCCACUUCCACCCCUGCCCACAGGGUGGAGGCAGCCUCCUGUCCUUGCUGGCACCUGAGAGGACUCACCUGGCCACCACCAUCACAGCCAGGAUAGAGACUGUAUUUAUUUUUUUCUUUUUUUUUUUUUUUUUUGGUAUUUAUUUUUCUACAGAAAGAAUAUAUGCCUGACUAAAUUCUGUUGAACUGAAUCACUUAAAAUACUACAAAUUCAACACAGAAGAUGUUAUUGUUUUUUCCAAGGAUGGGUUUAUUUCAAAUUUUAAAGAUAUAUACACAUAUAUUAUUUUUAUUACAUGUAAUAAGCAAUUUUAAGCUUACAGUAAAAAGUUUCACAUUUUUAAAGUUUUUUUAAAAAAGGAUGUCUUAAAAACAUAGACACUUUUAAAAAGCCAAAUAAGCUAAGGAUCUCUCACAGCACAGAUUUCUCCCUUAAAUAUUCACAUUUUAAAAGUUGUUUUGAAAAGAUUAAAAAAACUGGCUAAAAUUA